This 88-nucleotide ribosomal RNA is filed under the name Marinovum sp. RNAcentral's name for it is "partial 16S ribosomal RNA". The stretch from base 22 to 88 matches the Rfam family "Bacterial small subunit ribosomal RNA", at positions 1 to 67 of the family's 1533-position model. Lineage: Bacteria; Pseudomonadati; Pseudomonadota; Alphaproteobacteria; Rhodobacterales; Roseobacteraceae. The record is from RNAcentral.
GAUAAGCUGGUAACAGCUUUUCAACUUGAGAGUUUGAUCCUGGCUCAGAACGAACGCUGGCGGCAGGCCUAACACAUGCAAGUCGAGC